RNAcentral lists this ribosomal RNA (253 nucleotides) under uncultured bacterium. RNAcentral's name for it is "partial 16S ribosomal RNA". It matches the Rfam family "Bacterial small subunit ribosomal RNA", at positions 524 to 776 of the family's 1533-position model. The record is from RNAcentral.
UACGAAGGGUGCAAACGUUGCUCGGAAUCAUUGGGCGUAAAGCGCACGUAGGCGGCCCGUUAAGUCGGAUGUGAAAUCCCUCGGCUCAACCGAGGACGUGCAUUCGAAACUGGCGGGCUCGAGUAUGGAAGAGGGUCGCGGAAUUCCCGGUGUAGAGGUGAAAUUCGUAGAUAUCGGGAGGAACACCAGUGGCGAAGGCGGCGACCUGGGCCAAUACUGACGCUGAGGUGCGAAAGCGUGGGGAGCAAACAGG